Punica granatum (pomegranate) is the source of this 1405-nucleotide non-coding RNA. Lineage: Eukaryota; Viridiplantae; Streptophyta; Magnoliopsida; Myrtales; Lythraceae. The record is from RefSeq and is a predicted model, not a curated record.
CCGACUUUUCCUAAAUCGACCUGGUUCAUCCAUGAUUCAUAAGGGCAAUAGCGAUGAGUGCACAAUGCGGUUUCGAAAUUUUCAGGCCUCAGUCGAUAAAUGCAUAACCUCUGUGGAUGGAAUUCAUAGUGUUGGAAAGAUAAAGUAAACCUCAGAGACAAAAUAAUGUCUGAGAACACUGAACAUAGAUAAUAACCACCGCACAACACUACCAUGUAUAGCUUUGAGAUUGCGAGUUGAAAAGUAAAAUUUCAGACGCAUAUAUACAUCGGCUUUGUAUAGACAUAAAAGUAAUUCAGGCCUUAUUGACCCCAACAGGCCCAGCUCAUAUUAAGGCCCAUUCUAGAAAUGACCCAGCUCGGCUGCAUGAGCUCGUUUCUCUCUCUAGAAUGACAAUUGCUCGUUGCCCCAAGUUGACCUCUCUGUCUCAUGGCAUGCAAAAUCUGAACAAGCUUAAACGACUUUGUAUUAGGGAGUGCAGCCAGCUUGGUCUCUCUGUCGAUGAGAAUGGGAAUGCUCUGCAAUUUCAAGCACUUACGAGCCUCCGAUGUCUAGUGAUCUAUGGAAUCCUGAAACUCAUAUCGCUGCCGGAUUGGCUUCUUCAUCUCACCAUUCUUGAGGUGCUCUACCUCAGUAACUCGAGUAAUCUCGUGGCUUUGCCAGGGUGGAUAGGAGAUCUGCUAUCGCUUAGCAGGCUUGAAAUCAUUCAGUGCGGCAGUUUGAUAACUCUGCUCGAAGAGAUAUCAAAGCUCAAAUCCCUAGAGCGUGUGAGGAUUGCAGGAUGCCCUCGCUUAGAAGAAGCAUGCGUCAAGGAUACAGGAACAGAUUAGCCGAAGAUUGUUCAUCUACAAAUACAUUUCGAGGAGUUGUCUUACUUCGAUAGAAAGGAUGUAACAUUUGAAAUCAUGGGAUGGGAGUGAGAACUCUUGAAUCUACAAGAAGAGACAGUUAUGUACACACAUGUAGGCUGAUAACUCUGUUCAUCCCUAAGGGUCCAAACUGGAGUCAAAGCUCAAUGUUUGGCGCUCUCGACAUGCUUUGUAAAUGUAAAUUUGCCUCAUGAGAUGCCUAAAGAACUUUCGUAAUGUGAAUUUGCCUCGUGAGAUACCUAAAGCAACUUACUUUGAUUCGUAACUCAUUCUGAUUGUCAUAUCAAGUGUGCCCUACAUAAUAAUACAGUUUUCUUGCUUCCUUUCUAUGCAUCAAUUCUGAAAUUAGGCCAAACAGACAUGUCCGGCUAGAUGGAGAAAGUUAUGAAAUCCAGAUCAUUUCUACUGUGCUUCAAAGAGAGCUUUAUAUUUGACUGUAAUGGUGAAUUUUGAUGUAAUGAAUAAAAUAUUUUAAGGUCGUUGGAGACCAGAUUAGAUAGAGAUCUCAUAUUUGUAUACUAUGGUUUAAUCUCAAG